GUUUCCGUAGGUGAACCUGCGGAAGGAUCAUCACUGAGUUUUGAAUGAAGUUGUUCUGGUCUUUCGGGGCAAGUGAACGCUUCUCUCAAUCCAUCUUACACCUGUGCACCUAUCGGGGAAGACUUGGAUCUAAGUUGGGUCACGACGGCGAUCUACAGUCUCCUCUUUAUACCAAAUAACAGUUUUAGAAAGUCUUUUUUGCUUGAUGCAAACUUAAAUAAAUACAACUUUCAGCAACGGAUCUCUUGGCUCUC
This 254-nucleotide unclassified non-coding RNA is filed under the name plant metagenome. Its description in RNAcentral is "partial contains small subunit ribosomal RNA, internal transcribed spacer 1, and 5.8S ribosomal RNA". The record is from RNAcentral.